RNAcentral lists this transfer RNA (64 nucleotides) under Crassadoma gigantea. RNAcentral describes it as "tRNA-His". Lineage: Eukaryota; Metazoa; Mollusca; Bivalvia; Pectinida; Pectinidae. The record is from RNAcentral.
GUUUCUGUGGUGUAUAAAGCACAAAAGGUUGUGGUUCUUUAGGAAGGCGGAAGUCUCAGAGGCC